This 106-nucleotide ribosomal RNA is filed under the name Ditylum brightwellii. RNAcentral's name for it is "partial Eukaryotic small subunit ribosomal RNA". Lineage: Eukaryota; Bacillariophyta; Thalassiosirophyceae; Lithodesmiales; Lithodesmiaceae. The record is from RNAcentral.
UCCGGCGCCGUUACUUUGAAGAAAUUAGAGUGCUCAAAGCAAGCCUACGCUCUGUAUACAUUAGCAUGGGAUAACAUCAUAGGAUUUCGGUCCUAUUGUGUUGGCC